Molecule: ribosomal RNA, 473 nt
Filed under: uncultured bacterium
Lineage: Bacteria
Description: bacterial SSU rRNA
Rfam family: Bacterial small subunit ribosomal RNA
Source: RNAcentral
UGGGGAAUUUUGGACAAUGGGCGCAAGCCUGAUCCAGCCAUGCCGCGUGUGUGAAGAAGGCCCUCGGGUUGUAAAGCACUUUUCAGCGAGGAAGAACGCCUAACGGUUAAUACCCGCUAGGAAAGACAUCACUCGCAGAAGAAGCACCGGCUAACUCCGUGCCAGCAGCCGCGGUAAUACGGAGGGUGCAAGCGUUAAUCGGAAUUACUGGGCGUAAAGCGCGCGUAGGUGGCUUGAUAAGCCGGUUGUGAAAGCCCCGGGCUCAACCUGGGAACGGCAUCCGGAACUGUCAAGCUAGAGUGCAGGAGAGGAAGGUAGAAUUCCCGGUGUAGCGGUGAAAUGCGUAGAGAUCGGGAGGAAUACCAGUGGCGAAGGCGGCCUUCUGGACUGACACUGACACUGAGGUGCGAAAGCGUGGGUAGCAAACAGGAUUAGAUACCCCCGUAGUCCCUGAGCGGGCUGGCAAGGCGCAU